This 442-nucleotide ribosomal RNA is filed under the name uncultured bacterium. RNAcentral's name for it is "partial 16S ribosomal RNA". It matches the Rfam family "Bacterial small subunit ribosomal RNA", at positions 338 to 795 of the family's 1533-position model. The record is from RNAcentral.
CCUACGGGCGGCAGCAGUAGGGAAUCUUUCACAAUGGGCGAAAGCCUGAUGGAGCCACGCCGCGUGCAGGAUGAAGGCCUUCGGGUUGUAAACUUCUUUUAUAAGCGAGAAAUAUGACGGUAACUUAUGAAUAAGGAUCGUCUAACUACGUGCCAGCAGCCGCGGUCAUACGUAGGCUCCGAGCGUUAUCCGGAGUGACUGGGUGUAAAGAGUUGCGUAGGUGGCAUAAUAAGUAGCUAGUGAAAACUGGUGGGUCAAGCAUUCAGAUUGUUAGUUAGACUGUUAAGCUUGAGACCGUUAGGGGUAACUGGAAUGUGUGGUGUAGGAGUGAAAUCCGUAGAUAUUAGAAGGAACACCAAUAGCGAAGGCAGGUUGCUGGGCCGGAUCUGACGCUAAUGCACGAAAGCGUGGGGAGCAAACGGGAUUAGAUACCCCUGUAGUC